This 504-nucleotide long non-coding RNA is filed under the name Monodelphis domestica (gray short-tailed opossum). RNAcentral's name for it is "lncRNA (ENSMODG00000030582.2)". Lineage: Eukaryota; Metazoa; Chordata; Mammalia; Didelphimorphia; Didelphidae. The record is from RNAcentral.
AGAGUGAGGGGAUGGGAGAGUCCAAUGGCAUGUGGGGUUUUUGUUCCCUUCUCUCAUCACAAAAGUUUAUUUGAUGCUAUUCUCUUUCCAGGGAUUUGGCACAUGUCUUGGGCAAAGUUGCUAGACUUGUAGAUUUAAAAUGUCACAAAAGCAGGUGAGGUAAGGUGGAAUAGUCAAAAGAAAGAGGUGGGGUAGAAAAAAUAGCUAUGACUGUCGAAGAAAUCAGAGGAUUUAGACCUGAAAGAAGUCUUAGAAAUCAUUUAGUCCAGAGAAGAGGAAACAAAGACCCAGAGAAGUUGAGAACUAUAGAGGAAAAGGAGAAGGAAGGCAAGGCGAGAGAAGAAAUGAAUCACACCAUAUUUGAAGAUGGAAGACCUAGCUUCAUAUCUCAGCUCUACAGCUCACUACCUAUGUGACCAGAGGCAAAUCAUUUAACUGCUCUAGUCUCUUGAUUCCCUAAUUAUAUCAAAUAAAAGGGGUUGGAGCUGAUGUCUCUAAAUUCCU